AGAGUUUGAUUAUGGUAAUAGCGCUCAAGAUGAACGGACUCUUAAGAGUUAGUGGCGGACGGGUGAGUAACACGUUAGUACCUGCCCUUCAGUGGGGAAUAACUCGGCGAAAGUCGAGCUAAUACCGCAUAGGCUCGUUCGAGUAAAGACUUCGGUCGCUGAAGGAGGGGCUUGCGUCUGAUUAGCUAGUUGGUGGGGUAAAGGCCCACCAAGGCGACGAUCAGUAGCUGGUUCGAGAGGAUGACCAGCCACACUGGGACUGAGAUACGGCCCAGACUCCUACGGGAGGCAGCAGUGAGGAAUCUUCCGCAAUGGGCGAAAGCCUGACGGAGCAAUGCCGCGUGCAGGAUGACGGCCUUCGGGUUGUAAACUGCUUUUAUAUGGGAAGAUUAUGACGGUACCAUAUGAAUAAGGACCGGCUAACUACGUGCCAGCAGCCGCGGUAAUACGUAGGGUCCAAGCGUUAUCCGGAAUCACUGGGCGUAAAGCGUGCGUAGGCGGAUGUUUAAGUGUAAUGCGAAAUCCUGUGGCUCAACCAUAUGGCUGUAUUGCAUACUGGAUAUCUUGAGGAAUGCAGAGGCAAGUGGAAUUACCGGUGUAGCAGUGAAAUGCGUAGAGAUCGGUAGGAACACCAAUGGCGAAGGCAGCUUGCUGGGCAUUAUCUGACGCUAAGGCACGAAAGCGUGGGGAGCGAACAGGAUUAGAUACCCUGGUAGUCCACGCCGUAAACGAUGCAUAUUAUUAGCAUGGAGAUCGACCUCUGUGCUGAAAAGCUAACGCGAUAAAUAUGCCGCCUGGGGAGUACGGCCGCAAGGCUAAAACUCAAAGGAAUUGACGGGGCUCCGCACAAGCAGUGGAGGAUGUGGUUUAAUCCGAAGCUACGCGCAGAACCUUACCAAGGCUUGAAAUCCCUGUACUCCUAGGAAACUAGGAGGUCAGUUCGGCUGGAUAGGUGACAGAUGCUGCAUGGCCGUCGUCAGCUCGUGUCGUGAGAUGUUGGGUUAAGUCCCGCAACGAGCGCAACCCUUGUCGUGUGUUGUAUUUUUCACGCGAGACCGCCCGGGCCAACCGGGAGGAAGGUGGGGAUGACGUCAGGUCGGCAUGGCUCUUACGCCUUGGGCCACACACGUCCUACAAUGGCUGGUACAACGGGUCGGGAAACCGCGAGGGGGAGGUAAUUCCUCAAAACCAGUUUCAGUUUGGGAUGCAGGGUGGAAAUUGCCUGCCAGGAGGCGGAAAUGGUUGGUACCGUAAGUUAGCCUUAUUCGGGGGAAUAGGUUCCGGAGCUGCCAUUCACCCCUUCC
RNAcentral lists this ribosomal RNA (1304 nucleotides) under uncultured Candidatus Saccharibacteria bacterium. RNAcentral's name for it is "partial 16S ribosomal RNA". It matches the Rfam family "Bacterial small subunit ribosomal RNA", at positions 59 to 1395 of the family's 1533-position model. The record is from RNAcentral. Lineage: Bacteria; Candidatus Saccharimonadota.